CCUGGCGAUGCCUGUCAAGUAGCCGUAACAUAGAGAGCAUGAAACUCUCUCCUCUCUGCCUGAUCGGGCCAAGCUAAGGCUUUAAAGAACCGCUGCUGUUUUGCUGCACCGAAAAGAGACGGGUUUCUGACGCAGGGUCAUCACCCGUACUGCUGAUCCUGUGUGACUGUUUUUAUAAAUUGUAUUUUUACUAUUGUAUACAAAUAAACUGUUCUAUUUUUGAUAAUUGGA
Long non-coding RNA from Gymnodraco acuticeps, 231 nucleotides. RefSeq lists it as uncharacterized. NCBI's taxonomy places the organism in Eukaryota, Metazoa, Chordata, Actinopteri, Perciformes, Bathydraconidae. The transcript is spliced from 2 exons. The record is from RefSeq and is a predicted model, not a curated record.